Molecule: ribosomal RNA, 249 nt
Filed under: uncultured Sediminibacterium sp.
Lineage: Bacteria; Pseudomonadati; Bacteroidota; Chitinophagia; Chitinophagales; Chitinophagaceae
Description: partial 16S ribosomal RNA
Rfam family: Bacterial small subunit ribosomal RNA
Source: RNAcentral
UAAGGAAUAUUGGUCAAUGGACGAAAGUCUGAACCAGCUAUGCCGCGUGAAGGAUUAAGGUCCUCUGGAUUGUAAACUUCUUUUAUAUGGGACGAAAAAAGGUCUUUCUAGAUCACUUGACGGUACCAUAUGAAUAAGCACCGGCUAACUCCGUGCCAGCAGCCGCGGUAAUACGGAGGGUGCAAGCGUUAUCCGGAUUCACUGGGUUUAAAGGGUGCGUAGGCGGGCAGGUAAGUCAGUGGUGAAAUC